UUGCACAAGAAGAGGUAGCAAAGACAAGCCAAGAAGGACCAAAUGAAGAAGCAAAAUUCAAGGGCUUUUUCCAUCAUAAACCAAUAAUAUUCAAGAAGCCUUUUCCAUUUGUGAAGCCUAUCCCAAAGCCAUUUCCCUUUGUUAAGCCCAUCCACAAGCCCUUUCCAUUUGUUAAGAAGCCUAUCCCAAAACCAAUCUUUGUGAAGAAACCUAUACCUUUUUACAAGCCUGUGCCAAAGGUAAUUCCUGUUCUGAAACCAAUUCCCAUUUAUAAGCCUGUGCCAAAGGUAAUUCCUGUUCCCAUUUAUAAGCCUGUGCCGAAGUUCAUUCCUGUUGUGAAACCAAUUCCCAUUUUGAAGCCUGUGCCAAAGGUAAUUCCUAUUGUGAAGCCAAUUCCUUUUUUUAAGCCUGUACCAAAGGUGAUUCCUAUUGUUAAGCCUAUCCCUAUUCACAAGCCAAGUCCAACUCCAUAAGGUGAGAAGGAAGAGCCUGCCUUGGUAUUCAAUAAAAUAACCAUGUUUUGAAACUUACCACUGUAUCUUUUCAACAUAAAUUGCCUUUGCAAAAUCCUACCUUACCCAUCUUAUAUAUGUAUUGUAUCAGAAUAUGUAGUUAACUAUUGCUUUUGUUUAAAUAAU
This 638-nucleotide long non-coding RNA is filed under the name Lotus japonicus. Its description in RNAcentral is "long non-coding RNA (LJAP_LNC000455)". Lineage: Eukaryota; Viridiplantae; Streptophyta; Magnoliopsida; Fabales; Fabaceae. The record is from RNAcentral.